GAUGAACGCUAGCGGCAGGCUUAACACAUGCAAGUCGAGGGGUAUAGUUCUUCGGAACUAGAGACCGGCGCACGGGUGCGUAACGCGUAUGCAAUCUACCUUUUGCAGAGGGAUAGCCCAGAGAAAUUUGGAUUAAUACCUCAUAGUAUGUGAGAAUGGCAUCAUUUUCACAUUAAAGUCACAACGGCAAAAGAUGAGCAUGCGUCCCAUUAGCUUGUUGGUAAGGUAACGGCUUACCAAGGCAACGAUGGGUAGGGGUCCUGAGAGGGAGAUCCCCCACACUGGUACUGAGACACGGACCAGACUCCUACGGGAGGCAGCAGUGAGGAAUAUUGGACAAUGGGCGCAAGCCUGAUCCAGCCAUGCCGCGUGCAGGAUGACGGUCCUAUGGAUUGUAAACUGCUUUUGUACAGGAAGAAACACUGGUUCGUGAACCAGCUUGACGGUACUGUAAGAAUAAGGAUCGGCUAACUCCGUGCCAGCAGCCG
RNAcentral lists this ribosomal RNA (488 nucleotides) under uncultured bacterium. Its description in RNAcentral is "bacterial SSU rRNA". It matches the Rfam family "Bacterial small subunit ribosomal RNA", at positions 28 to 517 of the family's 1533-position model. The record is from RNAcentral.